Molecule: long non-coding RNA, 2800 nt
Organism: Prinia subflava (tawny-flanked prinia)
Lineage: Eukaryota; Metazoa; Chordata; Aves; Passeriformes; Cisticolidae
Exons: 5
Source: RefSeq, a predicted model, not a curated record
UGUCUUUGGAGACAUUUAGAAGGAGGAUACCCAAGACGAUGGAGCAGUCUUUGUGUAAACUGUGGACCAGGCAGCUGAAGAGUUGCCAGGGGAUCAGGGGAUCACCAAAAUCUGUGCAAGUCCUCCAGAUGAACAAGCCCACCCUCUGAAGUGUUUAAUCCAGGCUUGAUACAUCAAGAAAACUUCAGAGGAGUUAUUAUUGCCUCACACUAAUGAACUUGCAGGAAUUAAAUACUGUAAGUUCUAAAAUUAUGAACCAGUUCCAACAUUAUUUGAGGCCAAUGCACAUAAACAAACAUAAACAUGAGUCUCAUUUUCUUACAAAAGCAAAAGGAAAAACAAAACAAAACAAAACAAAACUUGUCAAGGUCAAAUUAUUUCCACGUACAAUUUAAAGGCAGGGGAGAGUAAGCAAGAGGAGCAGAUGGACAUCAAGGACACCCCCUUGCUAUGUUGCUAGAGUGAGAAAACCCACCACUUAUACAAUUGUUUCCUUCUUCUUCAGCCAUACAGUGGCCUUUUCCUGAUUCAGUGUAUCUUUCUGAGCAUGGGUGGCCAAAGCUGAAUGCCACUUGAAAAAAACAGUUCCCUCAUACUGGUGAUUCCAGCAUGAGGUGAGAGGUUCCCACUGUAGUUUGUGAAGAAUUUUCACAGCAUGAAUUCUCAGCAAAUUCAGGUACCUUUCCAAGGUGUCUACUUAUGCAAAGCUCAGUCACCCAAGGGGAAACUUGUCCUAAGUAAAUAACCUGUGUGGAUCAAUGCAAAAAUGCCCACCUGAAGUGACAAAAGGUUUGCUUUUUAGAUGGGGGUUAACCCCUGGACUGCUCAGAGUAGCAGCACACGGUGCCUGGCACUCCUUGGUGCCACGGUGUCCCUGUGUGCACGCAGAGCACCAAUGAAGCUGUGGGAAAUUCUGCUGCAGUGUUUGCAGCAUCUUGGGGAAGGCAACUUCUCAACAAGGUAAAUCGGUAUUUUGGCAGAUCUUUGCUGCACCAAGUGUUCCACCAGUGGAGAAUUCUGGAGAAGUGAUGAGGAAAUACAAGUGAUCUCCAAAGUGCUGCUGUUGAAAAGUUGAGUUGUUUAAGAUGUGAUUUUAAGAGGUCUUGGAUACCUUCUAGAAGUUGCUUCCUAAAGCAUCUGCAUGUCAGCACCCUACAUAUUUUAAACUGAGCAUGCAAAACCCCAGCAUGGAUGGGCACUCUUCAAUGUGGGGGCCUACGUGACUCCCUUUAGUCCCUUGGCAACACAAUAAUAGAAACAGGAACGUGGGAUUUCUUAUGUCUAUUGUGUCCAUUAGAACAAUACCACUGAGAGCAACUGAGACCAAAGGCCUGGCCUUCAAAAUAUAUGACUUGAGAAGAAAGCUGCAUUUUUUUGGUAAGGUCCAAAUGUAUUUCAUUCAGCUUUGCUGCUACUCUCAAAGUUUAGUUGUAAACAAGUCACACAUCUGGGUAGCACUGCCUGUAACUGUCUUCAUCCUCAACAAGAAUUACUGGCUUCACAAUGUUCUGUGUGUGCAGAAAACAGCUUGUAAGAGGUAACCUGAGCAAACUCUUAUAGCUGAAGAGCUUAAAUAUCUUUAAUGACCAGCCUACAAAGUGGCCACGGUCUUUAACUUUAUGGAUAUAACCCUGAAGUCUUGAAAUUCUGCAUUUUAGCCCUGCAGAGUAGGGCUCUGAUUCUGACUGCUCCCUAUCAAAUUUCCAUGCUGACUCUGCCCAGACAGGUCACCUGUCCAGAGCAAUGAUGUACUAACUGCUUCUGUGGGAGGUGAGUGUCAGCUUGAGCAGAACUCAGUACAGCUAUAAAGGGUUUUGUAGCUACACAGCAGUAUAACUUUGAAAACCAUUUGUGUACAUCAUAAAUAAAAUGAAGUAAGCUGUCAGGAUUAUCAUUACUCAGUACCAAGUGACAAAAUAAUGUUGCACCUGAGUAACUUCUGUUGAAGUGACAGAUUGUUUUCUCACUGCAUGGUUGGCAUAUCCUAGAGACUUUAAAUUCAGACUGUGGAGGCUGAAUUUAUUUGAAUUAAUAUUUUAAAUGUUCUAUGCUCCUGAUUCCAGCCUCAGUUCCCAAAAUCAUGACAGAAAAACCACUGGAAAAAUUCCCACUGAAUUCCAGUAUGGGCAGGGAUCCACAGAAAGGGAUAGGGAACUUGGAAACUCUCAAUUUGUGCACAGCUGAUACAAAGCCAGGGUUUAGAGUUCAUGGCUGCUGACAGGAUAAGGGGACAUGACCUGUUCACUCUGAGAGACUGAAGACACCUGGAGAAGGCUGCAAUUUGGAGGAGCUGACAGACUUCCCUGGUUGUCUGCCUUUCUUGUCUUGGAAUGGCCAUUCCAAAAAGCCUUUACAAGCAUUUCAGCAUGGUGGUGAGGUGGAAGAAUAAAAUAAGAGUGCUGCUGCUGCAAAGCUGCUGUUCUCCUCUGCUCCUAGAUUGUUCCUCCUCCCAGCCAAACCCACGGCUUGCCAGCUCAUUUGUGGCUGUUUGCCACAAGCUCCCAGUUCCCUUUACAUUGCCUGGCACCUCCUUGGCCUCCCAAGCAGAAACAGGAGGGAUCACAGAAGAGCCCCUUAUGAACCCCCUGUCUUCAGGCAGAGACACAACUGCCCCCACGGUGUGAGUAACAGCAGGAUGUGACAUCUCCUGGGACCUCUCUGCAGGCUCUGAGAGCUCAGAAAGGCACAGACACAAAGUGCAUUCCUUGGCAUUCCCACACCUCUCUCCUAGCUGGGUGUCCCUGAUGGCCUCCUUCAUAAAUCCUUAAUGAAAGAUACUUCUGAAUAAAUACCUUCUCUG